Peromyscus eremicus (cactus mouse) is the source of this 482-nucleotide long non-coding RNA. RefSeq lists it as uncharacterized. Lineage: Eukaryota; Metazoa; Chordata; Mammalia; Rodentia; Cricetidae. The record is from RefSeq and is a predicted model, not a curated record. The transcript is spliced from 3 exons.
ACGAGUGUUCAUAUAUGUUUCUGAUAGUGCACUGGUGACAUUAACUUUCCAUGACAAGAAGGAUGUCAACUCCCUGAACCUGUUUCUCAACUCCCAACAAGUGACCAAGAGGACGUGGAGAAAUUGAGCUUGGUACUGAAGCUUCAUCACAGCUGGCUAGCUUUCUGAGUCCUGGGAGGGUCUAUGCAUGGUGCCAAAGAAGAGAGGUAUGCCACAGUCCUCUUGAGUUGACAAGUGUUAGUCAGUACCCUCAGACUACCCAUGGAGGCCAGCUAACCACCAGAAAAUACAGCACAGAAAUGUGAAACACACAGCACUAUGUAAAAAGACCCGGAGAAGGACACUAGCUCACAGAGCAAGAGGUGAAACUUUGAUUUGGCAUAUUCUAGAAUGAAAUGUGCACUUCAACCAAAGACCUCCAAGAACUAUAUUUUAUUAAAAGUAAAAGUCAAAUUUGAGCACAAAUUCUUCCCCACUAGAAC